CACGGGGGGAACGCGAAGAACCUUACCUAGGCUUGACAUGAGAGUGGUAGGAAGCGGAAACGGGACCGACCCUUCGGGGAGCUCCCACAGGUGCUGCAUGGCUGUCGUCAGCUCGUGCCGUGAGAUGUUAGGUUAAGUCCUGUAACGAGCGCAACCCUCGCUGCCAGUUACAAGUGUCUGGCGGGACUGCCGGUGACAAACCGGAGGAAGGUGGGGAUGACGUCAAGUCAGCAUGGCCUUUAUGUCUAGGGCGACACACACGCUACAAUGGCGCGUACAGAGGGAUGCCAAGCCGCGAGGCGGAGCUAAUCUCACAAAGCGCGUCGUAGUUCGGAUUGCAGGCUGCAACUCGCCUGCAUGAAGCCGGAGUUGCUAGUAACCGCAGGUCAGCCACACUGCGGUGAAUACGUUCCCGGGUCUUGUACACACGC
RNAcentral lists this ribosomal RNA (431 nucleotides) under uncultured soil bacterium. RNAcentral's name for it is "bacterial SSU rRNA". It matches the Rfam family "Bacterial small subunit ribosomal RNA", at positions 950 to 1393 of the family's 1533-position model. The record is from RNAcentral.